AAAAUACAUGAUUCCCUANUACUGCGAGUGAAGAGGGACAGCUCAAAUUUUAAAUCUAUCGGGUUUUACCUGAUCGAGUUGUAAUUUGAAGAAGCGUUUUCUGCGUAUUUGGUCAGCCUAAGUCCUAUUGAAUGAGGCAUCAUGGAGGGUGAUAAUCCCGUCCGGUUGAUCAUUUGCGUUUUACGAUACGCUUUCUAAGAAUCAAGUUGUUUGGGAUUGCAGCUUAAAAUGGGAGGUAAAUUUCUCCUAAGGCUAAAUAACGGCGAGAGGCCGAUAGCGAACAAGUACCGUGAGGGAAAGAUGAAAAGAACUUUGAAAAGAGAGUUAAACAGUACGUGAAAUUGUUGAAAGGGAAACGAUUGAAGCCAGUCGUACCUUCGGGUAAUCAGCCUUUCGGGUGCGAUUCUGUGGAGUGUGAGGAGCUUAAACACCUUCAUGUUUUGCAUAUUCGUACUCUUGGGUGUACUUGCCCGUGUGGUUGGUUAACAUCAAUUUUGGUGGUCAUAAAAUGACUGGAGGAAUGUAGCUUCGAUCUUGUAUUGAAGUGUUAUAGCCUUCGGUAGAUGUGAUGAUCGAGAUUGAGGAUUGCAACGGAUACCCUUCGGGGCUACCUGUCUGGUCUCUGAUCGUUGCUCUGGUGCCGAAAGCUUGCUUACGGUUAUCAAAGUCGAUGGUCAAUAGGUUAGAAUGGGUUAAAUUCGUUAAGGAUGUUGACGUA
Molecule: ribosomal RNA, 718 nt
Filed under: uncultured fungus
Lineage: Eukaryota; Fungi
Description: LSU rRNA
Rfam family: Eukaryotic large subunit ribosomal RNA
Source: RNAcentral